GAGAAAGAAAAGAAAAGUCCCAAAACUCCAACCAUUCCUAUCAAAGGUAGGGAUGUAAGGGAAAGGUCAGCUUAGCUUUCAUCAUCUUCUUCUUCAUCUUCUUCCUCGUCUAAACUUACAUCAUUCUCUCCGUUUUCAUCUUCGUCAUCUUCGUCGUCGUCGUCCUCAAAAAACACUUAACCUACAAUGUUGAAAUACUGCAAUGGGUUCGUCCACAAAUCUUCUCGAAUUAUGUUGGCCACCUGGUAAUUUUCAAGUAAAUGAAUGGACAUAAGUUAGUCAAGUUUUUAAAACUUGCUGAAGCCAAGUCAGCUCAUAUGCGGCUUAAGCUGAACUGGAACUCCUCUGACUCAAAUACAU
Molecule: long non-coding RNA, 360 nt
Organism: Magnolia sinica
Lineage: Eukaryota; Viridiplantae; Streptophyta; Magnoliopsida; Magnoliales; Magnoliaceae
Exons: 3
Source: RefSeq, a predicted model, not a curated record